Molecule: ribosomal RNA, 624 nt
Filed under: Dyella sp. EECC-258
Lineage: Bacteria; Pseudomonadati; Pseudomonadota; Gammaproteobacteria; Lysobacterales; Rhodanobacteraceae
Description: bacterial SSU rRNA
Rfam family: Bacterial small subunit ribosomal RNA
Source: RNAcentral
UGUGGGUGGCGAGUGGCGGACGGGUGAGUAAUGCAUCGGGACCUGCCCAGACGUGGGGGAUAACGUAGGGAAACUUACGCUAAUACCGCAUACGUCCUACGGGAGAAAGCGGGGGAUCGAAAGACCUCGCGCGGUUGGAUGGACCGAUGUUCGAUUAGCUAGUUGGUGAGGUAAUGGCUCACCAAGGCGACGAUCGAUAGCUGGUCUGAGAGGAUGAUCAGCCACACUGGGACUGAGACACGGCCCAGACUCCUACGGGAGGCAGCAGUGGGGAAUAUUGGACAAUGGGCGAAAGCCUGAUCCAGCAAUGCCGCGUGUGUGAAGAAGGCCUUCGGGUUGUAAAGCACUUUUAUCAGGAGCGAAAUACUGCCGGCUAAUACCCGGUGGGGCUGACGGUACCUGAGGAAUAAGCACCGGCUAACUUCGUGCCAGCAGCCGCGGUAAUACGAAGGGUGCAAGCGUUAAUCGGAAUUACUGGGCGUAAAGCGUGCGUAGGCGGUUCUUUAAGUCUGCUGUGAAAUCCCCGGGCUCAACCUGGGAAUGGCAGUGGAUACUGGAGAGCUAGAGUGUGAUAGAGGAUGGUGGAAUUCCCGGUGUAGCGGUGAAAUGCGUAGAGAUCGGGAG